CUCGGGGCAGCGCGGCGCGCGCCGCCUCGGCCCGGGCGGGACCGCGCCGAGCGAGGGGAAAGAGAGAGCGAACACUCGAGGCAGAAGCCACUUUUUACAGACUUCUGGAAAGUGCUGAAAUGAAACUCUGUGACUCAAUGCAGGUUUCCACAUCAUGAGUUUCUUCACGAGUUCCCCCAGUUAGUGUGGGCCACUGAUAACAAGACUAUUUGAGUAAGAUCCUACUGAAAAACAUUUUCUGAGAAUUAAGGUAGAACAGGAAAGACAAGAAUUGAUUGAAGUGUCUCAGUGUCCCUCCUGGGAACUGUGGAUGUAACUCUCUACAGAAUACAGGACUGUUGAUGGAGUUUACAUAUUGUGGUACGCUAGAUUUCCCCUUUUGCUCCCUGCUACAUACAAUGCUACAGUCCGGAGCCUUGGGGGACAGAAGUCUUAAGCAUGGAAAUAUGUUAACAACCAAGAUCUUUGGAAGUCAUCCCAUCCCUUCACCACAAAGACAACUGAGUGCACCUGGACCCGAGACGUGGCUUGUUAGGCUGCUUUGCAGAACAUCCACCAACACUGGCUCCAGGAUUUCCCUCUGUGUUCUGCUCCUCUUCUCCACAGCGGAUAGGCUUUCCCUCAUAUUCUGCCUACAACUUCUUUAUGGCAAGCUGAGCUCAUCAUCAUCCACCAUGCCAGCAGACAUACAGAAUGUAUGAUCGCAAUCUUCAAUAGAACAACUUUCCACUUAUUUGGCGACAACCCUUAUAUCUUCUCACAGGCUUCUAGUUUCAAGACCAGCUCUUUCAACCUGCUUUCAUGUUUUAUAAUCCUUUUAUUUUUCUUGCCCUGUUUUGAACUCUCCUCAGUUUGUCUACAUGUCUAAAAUAGUUACAGCAUUUCAGAUGAGCAGGUGAGCGUUACUUCCUUGUAUCAAGCAGAGCAAAAUAUUGAUCAUCCAUGUCUUUUUUCCCUUUGCAUCAAUAACAUACAGUAAUUGAUAACCUGAUUGUUUUGUAUAGUAAUUGGUCAAUUAUUUUCCAUUCUCUGUUUGAAACUAGGAUUUUGUUUUAGACAAGUCAUACUUUAUAAAUGUGAAUAUUCUGUACCAGGCUUGGGGAGAGGGAGAGAUGCUGAAGGGUUUUUUGGGGGAGUCUCAGUAAAAAAGGCCCAACAAAAAUGGCAUAAUAACAUGUCUGUUUUAAUAAGAUAGAAUAAAAAGAGGAGUAUAAAUAGAUAGUAAAUCUUGCAUCCUGUCAGAUACUGGGAAGCCCUUUUCAUGCAGCAUCAGGCAGACUGCAGAUACACUGCUGCCUGGCACACUGUGCAGAACCUAUCUGUGGAGAGGUUCCUCCUCACUCCCAUGCCACAGUGCCUUUUAUCAUGUGCAGCAAUCAAAGCCAUGCAUCUCCUGACAGGCUGGACUGUUACAUCCGUCAUAACGUCCGCUACCACGCAACAAAAGUCAGCAUGGAGUAGUCCAGCAGAUUCCAUGGUAACAUAUAGGCUGCCCAGCUUUAAACCCAAACCCAACAGAGCAGAUAUGGCCUGGUCAAGAUCACUAAGUCCUCAAAUACAAUGUCUUCUGCAAGCCCCCCAAUAUAAUGAAGGACACUUGGUUUUGCAUUGUUGAUUUCAAACAAUUUCUCUAGUUCUAUCAAAAUAAUACUCUAUGUGAGCACUCAAGCCCACUUUUCAGAAUCUGCCAUGGCCUCCCAUUCAUAAUGCUCUCACUCAGUCUCCGAGGUGGGUAAGCGUAACAGACCUCUUGAAGCAUCUGCUAGGAAAGAGCUCGACCUCACCUUUGUCCACCUUUUAUUUCAUCAAACACGUACAUGGGAUGGUCUUCCCUGCCUGUAGAGAAAAGUGAGAAAAUCCACUUUCUUAUUCAUCACUUUUGCCCAGUGUUUUUACUGGGGUAGGGUAAAGGAUUCAGAAAUGUGUGCAUUUUUUCCUUUUGCUUUGUAGUGAUGAAAAGAAAUCAAAAUAAGUAUUCAGCUGGGCAAAGAAAGAAUUCACUUACUCAACAUCUAGAGCUCCAUUAAGUUUCUGUCCUUUCAGAGGUCUAGAGAUCCAGGUAAAAGCAAUCAGUUGUCCUGGUGAUAGAAUUUCAAAUCUUAAUCUUGUUCUUAAAGUUCAGAAUACGGGUUUCCUGCUUAGUUUAGCACUUAGACAUUGUCAGGUACUGCAAUGAACAAAUUCAUAAGAAAUCAAAUCUCCGCCAUUUUGCAGAAUACAAGGACUAUCUUUAUGUCAAUCAGAGGAAAUGUGGGUUUGUCCAGCAAAUUCUUUAUUACUACUGAGAGGAUAAGGAUUACAGAAACAGGCUCAAGAUUUGUUCUUACUGGGUGUAGAUUUGCGUUCAGCCAUUGAACUUCUGCUGUUGAAAAAGAUGUCAAAAAACCUACACAAACAGAAAAUUGAAAAGUAGCAUGUGUGAUUCUUCAAUCAAUUGCAAAGUGAAGUAAGGAACUGAAUAACUAAUUUUUUUUUUUUACUCUUUUUGUUGUUCUUGUUGUUGCUUGAGUCUAGUGGCAAUGGUCCUGCAGCUUACAUCUCUAUAUGUGUUUACUAGAAUCAGCAAAAAAAGGUCAGCAUGUGUUGUACUAGCAUGUGUAAAAAUACAUAGAAAAUACUAAAGAAAGUGCUAAAAAUGAAAUGGUUAGAUAAAUUAAAACAUACACCUUCACCUGCAAUGUCAGCAACAAAGGACACUAGAAAUGAAUGGAGAGUGCCAUAUGAUGCAAUUCUAAAAAUAUGUGAAUUGUAUAAUUCAAAGAGAAAGAAAAGAAAUAAUAUUGUUAAAGUACAGAAGAGAAUGGAUAGUGUAAGUAGGUUACUUAGCUGUUCCUAUGUACACUCUCAGAAUAUAAAAGUAAGGAAUAGGUGUUGAAAAUGAAAGAAAACACCUAUCUUGUUAAGGUUCCAUUUCAUUCUCACCCCUUCAUAAGAACAAUAUUUCCAGAAUGGAAAAAGUACUAUGACAUCUUUUUUUUUUUUCACAUGCUCUUUCAAGUCCAUUUUUUUGAUGCUUUGUCUCAUUUCUGCCCAUCCACACACCUACACAUCACCAUUAGCUGCAUGACUACAAUGAAAGAUUCAGCAGCAAAGGGCUGCCCACUGCCCCUGAUCUGACAGCUCUUUCUGUGGCAAGCAACACGAACAGCACAAGGACCCUUUCAUCCAGUUCUGUAGAGCAGCAUGAUAAAAUUAUAGCUGGCCUGAGGACCAGGUAUUUCAUUGUUCACCCUGCUUCGCAUACUUCUCAACCACAAUGCUCCUCACAUGGACACCUCCAGUUUUCUUAAGGAAUUUUUAAAAAGGAACCCCAAAAAGAAAGCUAAUUUUUGUAUUUUCAAUGGAGUGUCACACAGUUGUCCUGUUCACAGUGUGACAGUGCAUUGGUCUCCCCAGGUAGCACCUGUUGAAGACUAUAAGUGCUUUUUUUAUUUCGGGACAAUAUUUUUCUGUAAACGGUCUUGACUCAAAAAUAAUUGAGCUGCUUCGAAGCAGACUGACAAGAUUCCUCCCUGCUUAGAAAACAGAAAUAGAAAAUUACAACACAAAAGCUAAUGAGUCACAAAAUCACUAUUUGAAAUCAAGUUUUAAAGCAAAAAACAUUUUGCAACCUCAGUAUCACUAGUGCCUAUGCAGGAAUAAAAUUUAUUAAAAUCAAAAGCAUAAGGGAGCAAAGCAGGACAAGCAAGAUAGGUUGUUUUGAACCUGUCUGUAAUAGCACCAACUAGAGUAUUGCUUAUAGAUUUCUCAGCUGGAAAAAGAGAUAAUGGAAUUCUAACAUAGAUUUUCUCCCUCUAAACCUAUUCAUGUUUCAUGGUGGAUUUUUUCCAUGAAAAGCUUUAGCUUUAUUUGAGCACAUAGGUAUCAAAUACAGGGUGAAUGAAAGCCAAUGUCUAGACAGGAGCAGCAGCACAGACUUGCAAACAGACUUUGGUGGCUAACAUAGGGUAUAGGCUGAAAUAGGAGUUUAAUGCAAACUAAGUACUUUUCAUUAGUAUCUUUAAAUCAAAAGCACAAUAGGUUGAGUUACUUAAUUUUGCUGUUUCUAUAUUGUCAGUUUACCUUACUCAAACAGCUGAAUCUUUCAGAUAUUUUUGCAGUGCUAAGAUAACCUUUAAGUAAUUUCUGGCGUUAUACUAGGAGACUAUCAGGAAGGCAAAUUUCUGCCAAGCAAGCAAACAAGAAAGUACUGAAUUUUCAUUCAUGUACCGAAAUAAUUUCAAAUGCCACAAUACACAUCAAAAAGAAUUUCAGUCCUUUCACAGAAGUCAAUAUGAUGUAGUAAUGAUAUAGGAGUGUUGAAGAGGGACUGACUACAGGACAUGUGUUUUGAAAUUAAAAGAAAAUUAAAUCAUUGCUCCCUAAAGAUCAGUAUUCUAAUUCAGGCACAUAGAACCAACAUUAAAUCAUCUUUUAAAGUACUCAAGCCCUGCCACACAGAUGUAAAACUGCAAGAUUUUAUAACUCAGUCAAGACCUUUCUGUUCUCUUAUUGAAACAAAAGAGGAAAAUGGAAGUGUGUAGGCGAUGCAGAGAUGAAAACAAAGGUUCAAAGAGGCCACUGGGCAAAGUGCAUACUAGUUCCUUACAGCUUGCAGAGCAUACUCAUGGAAAGACACUCAUCAAGCCGCAUUGUGCCUGUUCCCAAGCCUGCAUAUCAAAGAGACACAUUUUAAGCAGUGCCCAUUGAGGGUAGCAAGGCUUACCUUUCUCCACCUGUUCAGGGAACAUUUUCAAGCUGGGCUACAGUUAUGUGGUCAGCUGAGAUAGGAAGUAUGUUGAUGAUGAACAAAAGUCAUAUUCCUUUAUUAUGUAUUAAAGGGAGAAGUUGUGCUGCCUCUGUCAUUCUCCUGGAUUACUAGAAAGUAGGGCUGCUUUCCUGCUGCACUUCAGUUUGGCUGCAGACCAGUAUGCCCAGUAUGACUUGGGUGGCCUAGGGUCUUAUUAUGAGCAUCUCUCCACCUAAAGGCCAUUCCAGCCCUCUAAACAGGAAGACUAAGCUGCUGUAAGUCGAAGCACAUGUUAUUCCUUUUGCCUCUGUGUUUUAUUGUUUGUUUUCCUUUGGCUGCUGAUCAGGGCUGCCAUUUUCCUACUACAGUCACCCAACCUGAGUGCACAACAUGACAGUUCACACAAUUCUCACAAAAGACCAUAACCCUCUCUUCCUGACCUCACAAGUUAACAAAGACAUUUUGCAUGAACACUUACAGUGUCAAAAGGAGCUAGCCAACACACAGCUAACCUCUGUGUAGCUACCACCUCCAUGCCAUUUUUCUUAUAGUUUUUCCUUUAGAAACAAAACAAGCCACUCACCACAGAUAAAAAACUUGACCACUCAGAAUUCAAAGGGGUUGAGUUUCAGAGCGACAUUUCUGGUGAACUCUUGCUCCCUAUCAACCUCUUUUAUAGUUUACACUUGAAAUUUCCAGCUCAAGAUUCUCAGUUGAAUUGUUUCAGCUGUUCAUCUGAAAAGCCACCCACUCAUAAGUAAAACUGACUAUUACAAAAAUAAAAUCUUGACAAGAAACUAAUGAAAUUCAUAACUUGAGAACAAAACUAGUGCUUUAUUUUCAGGAGUAGCCUUUUUCAUUUACUACUUUACUCUUUCUCCACUAAAUAAAUAUUAAUUAUGGUGUUUAUCUAUACAAGUGCUUCAUUCUCUGUUUCCUGGAAUUCGCAAAGUUAUCCUUGGAUUUGUGAUGACAGGAAGUGCUUUUAAACAGAAUUGUAUUUUUCCAUAUGAUUUAACAGUUGCAGAGAACAUCAUGAAGCAGGCAGGAAUCUGUAUGUACUUGAUUAACACUACCAAUCUGUCAGUCCUAUGGCAUUCACCUUUAAUUGUGUUCAUUACAUAGCUUGAUUGUGUUUGAUAUUGUUAGGUUGCUAAACUUAGUAGAUGCCAUAAAUAGUGUUGCCCACAGCACAGGUCUCCUGUUCAGUAUUCAGGUCUCCUUGCAGUACUCAGGUCAGCAGUUUUUCAGUUGUCCUGUACCAUAAAUAAA
This is a long non-coding RNA of Columba livia (rock pigeon), 6001 nucleotides long. RefSeq lists it as uncharacterized. NCBI's taxonomy places the organism in Eukaryota, Metazoa, Chordata, Aves, Columbiformes, Columbidae. The transcript has 4 exons. The record is from RefSeq and is a predicted model, not a curated record.